RNAcentral lists this ribosomal RNA (419 nucleotides) under uncultured bacterium. Its description in RNAcentral is "bacterial SSU rRNA". It matches the Rfam family "Bacterial small subunit ribosomal RNA", at positions 355 to 772 of the family's 1533-position model. The record is from RNAcentral.
UAGGGAAUAUUGGACAAUGGGCGCAAGCCUGAACCAGCCAUGCCGCGUGCAGGAAGAAGGCCUUCUGGGUUGUAAACUGCUUUUGUCAGGGGAUAAAAUGACCGUGCGCGGUUAAUUGAAGGUACCUGAUGAAUAAGCCACGGCUAACUACGUGCCAGCAGCCGCGGUAAUACGUAGGUGGCAAGCGUUGUCCGGAUUUAUUGGGUUUAAAGGGUGCGUAGGCGGUCUAUUAAGUCAGUGGUGAAAUAUGGCAGCUCAACUGUCAAGGUGCCAUUGAUACUGAUGGACUUGAGUGAAGUCGAAGUAGGCGGAAUUGACGGUGUAGCGGUGAAAUGCUUAGAUAUCGUCAAGAACACCGAUAGUGAAGACAGCUUACUAGGCUUAUACUGACGCUGAGGCACGAAAGUGUGGAGAUCAAA